RNAcentral lists this transfer RNA (72 nucleotides) under Pardosa pusiola. RNAcentral describes it as "tRNA-Phe". The record is from RNAcentral. Lineage: Eukaryota; Metazoa; Arthropoda; Arachnida; Araneae; Lycosidae.
AUCUUUUUAGCUUAAAUAAAGCACUUUACUGAAGAUAAAGAGAACUAUUCAUCUUCAUCAUGAAAUAAGAUA